This is a non-coding RNA of Podarcis lilfordi (Lilford's wall lizard), 8777 nucleotides long. The record is from the annotation of a GenBank genome assembly. NCBI's taxonomy places the organism in Eukaryota, Metazoa, Chordata, Lepidosauria, Squamata, Lacertidae.
GUUCCACGCACAAGCGAAGAUCAAUUUUUCAGUUCAAUUCCUUUAGGAUGAGACCACCAGUCCUGACAGUACUACUGGUAAUCUAACCAAUAAUCUGUUUCCAUAGGCUGAGAUGGUUGAGGAGCUAGAUGAAUAAAAAGAAGUGCUUAGCCAUUUACUGAUGCUGUCUUACUGUGAAUGCCAACACGGACAGCAACAAACACAUCUACUUCUUUUAGUUAUAUAUUACGAAGAACUUCUUGUCCAUAUGCUGGACAACAGAUAAGACUUAUUCUUGCCUCUGUUAUGUCCACUGCAAAUACUUGUCACAACAGACAGCAUCCUUAAUUAAUGUUGCCUCUCUUUUGUUUAUUCUUAUAUCCUGAGGGAAGGUGUGACUCCUUUACAGACAACAGUCAGUCCUCUGUUUUAAAUUUUCUUUUAUUUGAAGGGCAGUCCAGUCAAGUCCAGGAGUAGUAAGUGAGGAGCUGUAAACAGGACCUCCUGGCAGUGGAGUCACUGCAACUUUCUGGGAGGGAGAAGGUGAGGCAGCAGGGAAGCUGGUGCUGUGUGGGCACAUCAGCAGGAGUAUUGGAUUGCCUCUGCCAAAGCACCCAUGCCGUUGAAUCUGCCUGCUGCCUCACACCCCCUAGUAUAUGGUAGUGACUCCGCUUCUGGGAGGUCAGGGGUGUGGUGCCACCGAUCCUUACCAGCCCCUCCUGGUCCAGUCCAGUUCCAAAUUAAACAUAAAGAACUAUAAGAAGGGAGAGCAUGGGCCCUGUAGUCACCCACCAACUGUUAACAACUAGACAGAACCCUAAGUAGGCCAGCAGGACCCUUGGGUCUUUCCCCAGAGGGUGAGUUGUCUUGAUUUCUGUUUAAAUUAUUGUAAUAAUUUCUGAAUGUGCAUCUAUAGCUGCAAAGAAGCACAUGCAAAUUGCAUGCAGAUCUGUGCACUGUUUUGUCCUCUCUUGUGAGGAUGCAUUUGCUCUUCUUGAGUGAUGUGUAGGUAGCCACCUUGGCAUUAUCCCUGAAAUGUAGAGUGAGAUGACAUACUUGCAUGUUGGGGUGGCUAACCUCUGGUCCUCCAGAUGUUGCUGCCCUUCACCUCCAAGGAGCCUCAACCAGUGUGGCCAAUGAUCAGAGAUGGUGCAAACUAUAGUCCAGCAACAUUUGGAGGGUUGCAGGUUAGCCACCCAUGCCUGCAUCAACUUUCUUCACCAUGGAACACAAAUCCUCUAUAAUGUGAGUGCAUGACCCAGAUGGAAACUUUCAGUCAGCACCACCACCAAAUCAUAAUAGUGCCUGAUCCUUGCCCUGUUUGUGCCUGACUUGCAUAACAGAGGAAGGAAGUCAUAAUAUGUCACAUUUUCUUGCAUGUGUUAUUUUUCUGGGUAAAGCGUGGACUGAAAUCUCUAUAUAGAAACUAAGAAGAACAUAACAAAAUUUCCAACUUUCUUUAUUACUUUCCCUCUUGACAGUUCCCACAUUUAGUAACACAAUAUUCCCACAUAAACCAGAUCAAAGUGACAAAAAAAAUGACACAAUUUUUAAUUGGUGUGAAAGGGCACAAUAUACCACAUAUAUAUAAAAAAGAUAUUCCCAUUCACUCCAAAGAGCAGGAAAAUUUCACAGUGGAUUGUGCCUAAAUUGGUUUCUUCUUUCAGGCUGAUGACUCAUUAAGAGUCCAAGGGUAAUUGAUUGAUGAUUCAGUAAUGGGAACUAUUGACAGGAGAUGAUUUCUUGGUAGCUGGGGUUCUCUCUCAGGUUUGAAGGAAGAGAUCCUGUCAAAGCUUGGUGAAGGUGAUGUUCUUCCAGCUGAGAGCUGAGAGAGCGCAAAAUGAUGUUGCAUGUAAAAGCAAUACCCAAGUAUGGUUUAACAAGCUAAGCUCCAUACCUCUGCCUGCACCAUUAUUGCCAUUCUCUCCCUCAGAGUUGGAGUGUAAAAGUCUGAAGCAGGAAAACUCCUCUACUUCUGAAGGCUCCUUAUGAGAUUUAGAACCCUGCAGACCUCUAGCAAAUAGUUCUUCUGUGCUUUUUAACGCAAGCUGACACAUCCUCAUUAUGUUGCACUGGUAACCAAUAUGGACUUCUACCUUGAAACUCUGGUGAUAGGCAUUCACACUUUAUAGAGGUUGGCAAUAGUAAUGGCUCCUUCUGGAAUGGUUGCAGCUGCCACAGUCUUUCUCCCUCUACCCUACUUUGUAAUUUCAUUGAGCAACAUUCAUCACUAAACGGAUAACACAUCUCCCCCUGUGGAACAAAAUUAAAACUUAACCAGAUUCACUAAAAUUAUACCACUAUUUCUUGACUUAACUCUCUACCCAGUGGACAGAUCUGCAGCACUUGAGGGAACAUGCUGUGUCUCUUUCAGUGUGGCCAGACAGCUAGAAUUCAACUUUUUGUUGCAAGCCAAAACUGGAAUAGCAAAUUGAGGUGGGGAAGAGGAAAGGGCUCCCUUCAGUGUCAAAGUGUAAAAGUUGAAUACUACAAGAGAAGGGAGUUUGAUACCUUCUUGCCCAGGGAGGAACCCCAGAGCCUCAAAAAGAGAGCUGCUUAACACUUGGUGUUGCUACUGGAGGAAGGGACAACUCUUUGAGGAAUGGCAGUAACUCAUGACACAACAUCUGCUUUGCAUGCAGAAGGUCCCAGGGUCAAUGCCCAGCAUCUCCAGGUAGAUAUGGGAGAGAAACCUCUUUGAAACCCUGGAGAGCCACUGUCCAUCAGUGAAAACAAUACUGAGCUAUGUGGACCAAUUGCCUGACUAGUAUAAGACUAUGCACCUAUGCUUGUUCCUAUGUACAGAAUGUAAGGGGCAAACAAAACAUUUCAUUUUUUCCAGAGCUGUGGAAACCCAUUGAUCUCCAAGAAAGAACUUUGGUCUGGUAAGUUCUCACCCACCUAGGAAUCAAAGGAUCUUCCAACUUUGUUUCUCCCUGUUUCUCAUUUUUCCAGCCUUAAAUUCAGUUCUCCACAUAUUUGCAGCAAUAUGCAGGGAAAAAAUGGGAGCGUUUUAUCACCCUUAAUUUUCCUUUCUGAAGAAAAGAAAACCUCUCCUAGACCGUUACCCCUGUCUUUCUAUUUAGAGUUUAUCUCCUCUCCAGUGCCACACAACCUGCAGGCUUCCUGGAGCCUGUUCCACACAAUUAUUUUUAGGCUGUGGGUGACAUGUUCAUUGAAUAAAUGCAGUUUUCUCCUGCCCUCCCUACUCUGGAUACCCGGUGACGCCGUUGUGUGAUUUAUUUAUUUGUUUCUAUUCAUAGGCUUCUCUUUCACAGGGGUUCAAAACAGGCUGCAGCAAUCAUUGUUUCAAAAUCUUCAUUUCUGUACCUGGAGGGCUUACCACCCAAGUCACUUUAAUUAAACAGCUUGGGAAAUGAAAGAGGUCAAAUGAAGUCAUUAAAAUUCUGUUUUUAAGGAGAUAACUUUUAAGAGUUAUACUUUAGCAAUACCGAAGACAUUUUAGCUUUCUGUUGCUAAACACUUGGAGCUGCUUCAUUCUGGUACAAAAAAGGGGCACUUGUUUUAAGGAACAAUUCUACUGUGUGGUUUAGGUCUUCUUGGACCCCCUUUGCAUGAAAUGGAAGCAAGGUUGAGAGCUACUUUCAAAAAUCCUAUUUCUAAUAUUCUUGUUUUCUCCAUGCAGGGAUGUUUGUAGAGAGCAUGGGGCUUCUCCACCUGUUAAGUCUGAAGUAGCAUGGUCCAGAAAUAACUCCAUGUGGAGGUCAACACCAAGCUGUGCAUUUAGACUAGCUGGGUGUCCUUUAGAUGUUUUAGACUCUCCCAUCACCUCCUUCCAUCUUGGCCAAUGGUCAGGGAAAUAUGGGAAUUGUAGUCCAACAGCAUCUGGAGGGCAACAGGUUGGGAGAGACUGGCUCAAGAAGUCUGUCUCUUCUGGGUUAGAGCAGGGUCAGUGUUCUACUUAUCCCUUUUCUAAUUAUUCCUGUUGCAGCAGUGGAUGUAAUGGGAAAAGAAGCAUGAAUUGGAAACCUCUCAGUCUUAUCCACACAGAGUAUCAUUCCCUGUCAUUGACAAUGCUGGCUGUGGCCUACUGCAGAACUGCCUCUCAUUGCUCCAGAGUAUCAUCAGCUGCCUGCUGACUUUAUGUUGUGCAAGAAUAUGUUAUUGCAUGCACGUGUGAAUGAUACCCACACAUUCCAAAAGGAAUUUAUGGACCCAUCACAGCCUCUAUUUUUGUAGGACUGUUCUUUAUUUCAAAAUAUUAUGGCUCCUGAUUGGACAUAGGAGCUUCUCUUCUUUUUCCAGAGACUGCAGCUCUGGGACAGCUGUUUUCUUGGAAUUUUGCAUUUGGCAAACUCUACUUUAAAAGGCCUUACUGGCUUACAGAAGCUGUGUCGGUUUCCCCUUUGAUAAAGGAUUUGGCUGCAGCCCUGGACUCAGUUACUCACUUAGUCCCAAUGAACUCAGUAGGCUUAACCAGGCAUAGCGGACUGCAGGAUUACAUUAUUUGUCACCUAUCUGGAUGCGUAGAAGCAUUAUGAGCUUUUAAUUCAAGUUCAUCUUUAUAAGGAAGCUUUAUGGGAUCUGCCAGAUGAGAUACCAACUGCAUGCUUAGUGACUACAUUAGAAUUUUUACAAUAAACAGUUGCAGAUUACCCAAGGGGAUGUAACCAGAUUCAAAUAAUGUCCAAGACACGGUAUUUUUAGUUUUAGUUUUUUGCUGACGCAUUUCCAAUUAAUGUUCCAUUACUUUUGCUGGAGGCAUGCAAGUUUUUGCAUACAAGGCACAAAGGAGGCAGUAGCUUUGGCGUCGUUAAAGUCAAUAGGCUGUUUUCUCCCAAGUUACUUCCAUCGUCCAUUCGUGUGUAUCUGUUUCUAUAACGGACAAUAGAACACUCCGAUUUUCACACUUGACCUCCACCUUCCCUUUAAAACAGACCUAUGAUUAAGUAGAGACCACUUUUGUAUCUCUUUUGUAAACUUUGUGAGGGCUGAAGGUGAGCUCACUGCAUUAAUUUUACUGUAGGUUUUCUCCCCAGAAUUGUUUUAUCUCCAGGUUUCAAAAUCUUGAUUAUGAUGGUAGGGCUUCUGUCACAUUUUCUAACGUUCCUUUCGCACUGCAGUAACUACUGUGUUAUGGAACUGUGGCUUUUUGACAGAUAAACCAGCAUGUUGCACUACAUUGCAUUCACACCAAUAGACAUGGUGUGACACAACAAAUGCCAUUGGACAGUGUUGCUACUCUGUCACCUUGCCGGACACGUGUGCUUCUCUGUUCCUCCAUGAUUCACCCAUGAAAAUGGCAGGAAAGAACUGUAGGCUGGUAUAUACCACUCCACAUUUUGUCACUUUACUCCAGUGAUUUCCUGGGUUAAUGGGGCUGCAAAUUGAUGUUUUGCGCUGGAAGCAAUUAACACAGAAAUGAGUACUAAAUUUCCACUAGAUUCCACUAGCUUUCUGGAAUUGGUUUUUACGUUGUGUGAAAGCUCAAAUAUAAUGCAGGUAUUAAGUUUACGAAACAUUGCAGAAAUGGUGUGUGAAUGCAACCUCUGAACCAUUCUAGGUAGGUGUCAUCAGGGGUAACCAUUCAGAGAGCACAACUUCUGAGCCUUGGUAGUGUGAAGAAGUCCUGACCAAAAUUAAUGCAAAAGGACAAAAACAUUGAUCUGAUUCUUAAUAUUUUUUUGAUGUUGGAAACAAAGAAGAAGCCCACUUUGCAAUGCGUAACAUGCAAUUAUUCUAACUGUGAGAGAAAGCACUUUGGGUUGUUGAUUAGAUUUUCACAUUAGAUAGAAGCCUGCUCUUCUCCUUGUCACCUAUCAGUUCUGUCAUAUUCUACAAAGGAUGUGGUGCCUUUGUUCUGUUGCUUAUGAAUCUGUUUGGUAGAUUAAUCUCUCCUAUGUGCUCUGCAUUUAAAGCAUGUUUUCAGCUUGGUUCUCCCUUGCAUUUUCUGCUAUUGUCCAGAGGUGGUGCUGAGUGCUCAGGUACUACAUUGUUUAAAAUGGUCAAGAACAGGAAGAAGAAUCUUCAUUCUCUCUUUAGUGAUCAUUGCACCCUACAAGUGGUAAGGAAAAGGGGGGGGUGACACUUUAAAAAAUGGAAAUACAAACCAGUAUGUUUAAUAAGCACUGUGCACUGAAUGAGUUUCUAAGACAAAGGCUGAUAUUCCAUGUGCACUCAUCUGGGGAGUGCUGUUUUAAAUUCUUAUUUUCUUAGUAUGUCCCUUUUUUUGCAUUGUUUGAAUUCUUCUUUUAUCUUGCUGCAUCCCCCGCAUCUGCUUUAAAUUAUUACUGUAUAUAAGAACAUUAAAAGAUCCUUGCCUGAUCAGACCAAAGGCCUAUCUAGUAGAAAUGUGCACCAACCACAAUAUUCAGUUUCAACUCAGAGCUUCAAAAAACAACACAGUUGGACUUGAUUGUUCAAAUCCGCUUUGUUUUCCCCAUCCACAUUCACUAUUGGGAAGUUUUAAAAUGCUUAUAACUUUUUUUAUUUGACAGAAGUGGAUAAAAUUUGCAAGCAUGGUAGCCCCUCCAGAUUUGUGCAAAUUACAAGUAAAUAAUUCUAGGGACUUUUGUGCUGAACAACUCUAAAAUGUGAUCACCACUCUUCUGCUGCAGAAGGGAACCAUCUCUAACAUUUUUUUUGCAGAACUGGGUGAAAUUUGCAUGCAAGGCCAUCCCUCUGAGGGCAUAAAUUUGAGAAGGACUCCUUCACUUCCUGAGUAAUCAUUCCUGCUCUUUAAAAGUGAGAUCAGUCAGUUGUGCAUGAGUGCUUCUUCACCUUUCCCCAUUCUGACAUCUUACCUCCGCUUAGAGACAUAAAACUUAACCUUGCAGUGCUGUUCCCUGCAACUGGUAUUGUAGAACACUGGCCAAUCCCUCUGAUUACAACGCAGACAACAGCCUUAUUCCUCUGUGUCCUUGCCCCACUCUGUAUUUGCUCUCCUCUUCUCUCCGUUAGCCCACCCCGGUGUUAUGGAAAGAUUAGAGACAUUGCUUUUGCUUUCAAAAAUGACUGCAGCAUUUUUCAAAAUAUCUGGAUGACUAAGGUGCCACUAAGUGAUUCAGGGCUCUGCACUUUGAAUCAUGUUGCCUUGUAGAGAUUCCAGUACAGCUGACACGACUAGUACCCAUUGCUUGCUUUAUCUUCCAUGAAUUUGUCUAAACCUCAUAGAUAGAUGAUAGAUAGAUAGAUGGAUAGAUAGAUAGAUGAUAGAUAUAGUUUGACCCUUAAUUUUUAUUCAGCCUCAGAAUUAAUGUACUUUUUUUGAAUUUGUCUAAACCUCUUUUAAAGUUAUCCAGGUAAUAGAAAAGUAGGAUAUAAAUUAUUAACUAUUCACUUGUCAGGGACUGGACUGAAGAGGAGGAGGAAUGGUGGAAGUCACCCUCCCCUUCUCCGGUAACUCUCAGAGAAAAGGGAGGCAGUCUCAAAUUACAGCAGAGCUUUGAGGAACAUAAUAGCUCAGAGACAGGUGAAGAGCAGAGUUAUGAGGUGUUAGGAGGAGGAGGAGGGGAGGCAGAGCAGCUAGCUGACAUGUCACUGAACAGCAUAACUGACCCUCCUUCUCCCAAAAUGCGGCGUUCAUUAUGUGUGCAAGAACAAAGGGCACAGAGGCAGUUGACCAUGGACGGAAGCCAUAGAGGAAGGUGUUGUUGCUAAGAGUGAAGGGGGAGGAGCUCAGUGUGAACAAUGCCAUCAGUGAGGAAUGACAGGAUUAUUUGUCUUUCACUGUGAUACUGAAAUAAAUAAUAAGUAAGAACUUUCUUGUUUCCUCCCUGCUUCUUGGUGCCAUCAGGGGAGGGAAAGAAUUCUUCACACCUGAUAUCACCUAACUUGGGGAAAAGCCUCAUUGAAUGUGUGAAGACUUUUGAAUAAACAUGCACAACAUCAUGUUUCACAGUUUCAAUUGUAUUAAAACAAAGACAGCAGCUUGAAAGGAGGGAUAGACAGAGACCUGAUUGCAUUAGAAUGAUCAUGUUCUCUUUGGUGUUUUCUUCUAUCAUUCUUCCCCCCCACCUCCCCUCAAAAACCCAGACACCUUUCAGGAUUGGGAUGUGGUAUCACAGUGGCUCAAGAGUAUCUUGAUGUCAAAGGUAGAGUGAUAGCCAACUAAUUCAUACCCAAAUGAGACCCACUGAAAUAAAGUCUACUUUCAGUGGGUCUACUUUAUGAUUGAUUAACACUGGAUAUCACACAUAGUUUCUGACUUCUUACAAUGAAUGACUACUGAUUGAUUAUUCUUGUUGGUGGUGGAAAAUCACACUGUGUAUAUGCUCAGAAGUCCUGUUUGGGAGUUCAGUUUUGCAUUUUAAAAAAUCAGACUGUGACAUUACCACAGCAGAUUUGAAGUGAAGGCAUGUGGCAAAAUAUGUUCAGAGAAGGAGAAACACUGUGUGGGUUUAAUCAGGGGAAAAAUCCAUGGAGAUAAUUGUCAUAAUUAGUUAUACUGAUUUAGAUAUAACUCUGAUUAUAAUGAGCUACAUUGUGUCAGUCAGCACAUAGCUGGCUGUGCUGUUUUCUUGGGAAUUCUUGAAAUAAGAUACCUCAGUCUGAAUCCUCCCCUCCCUUUUCAUUUCAUAUGAAAAUCCAUCAUGUUAUGUGAGCAAAUCCUUAGCACAAUAAAGGGAUCACCAUUUCUUUCAGAUGUCUCUUCUAUGGAAGAAGAUACUCAACAUGCAUCUGGAGCUCAGAUUAUAUUUAAAAUGCUCACCUCAUUUUGGGUACUCUAAGGAUGGAUUACCAAGAAAUAGUCCAUCUGGAGCAAUCCUCAAGCACUAUUACUGGCAAUUAAGAAUUGUAUACUGUAGAUGUAAAUAAAUGGAAUAUUUGUAUCAUGG